AUUCUCAGACUGCAGGGACAGCCAAGCCAGUUUCUUUUGAACCUCUUUAUUCCUUCUGGCCCUCAGGAUCAUUUCCUGGAGUGAGUCAGGGACUGAGACGUGCAAGAUAAUGAACUGGGUAUUUCUUCCUACACCUUUAGACAUAUAUGCAGGCAGAACACUGUAUAUAAUAAAUAAAAACAUGAAGAAGGAGGAAGGAAGGAGGAGGAAGAAGGAAGAAGAAGGAAGAAGAAGAAGAAGAAAGAACAACUCCCUUCUGUUACCACCAGGAACACACUCCACUCCUGGGCAACUGUCAAAUGGGAAUCAAGACUGGUCACAGCACAACACAUAUCCAAG
Molecule: long non-coding RNA, 339 nt
Filed under: Cricetulus griseus (Chinese hamster)
Lineage: Eukaryota; Metazoa; Chordata; Mammalia; Rodentia; Cricetidae
Description: lncRNA (ENSCGRG00015020432.2)
Source: RNAcentral